AAGAAGUCCUUCAUCAAUGAGAAGCAGGGAAGAACCAGGCUGGAAUUUGCAAAAAUAAUGUGUAUUUUACACAGGUGCAUACCCAUAAAUUGAGACAUGAGUGAAAUUGAAAAUGUCAAUGUGGUCUCUUAAGUUUUUCCAGAGCUGAAUGUUCAUUUUGAAAUAUAACCAGCCAGAAUGGAGCCCAGUUCAUGGACAUGGCAUUUCUCUAUUGUCCAUGGAACACCUCAUCCCUGCUGACAAAUACAAGCAAAGCAGGGUUACCCUGAGCUUGGAGCCCACCCCAGCAAACACGGGGCACCGAGAAAGAGGAUGAGACACCACUGGGGGAAGAGACUGAAUGCAAGCUACACAUACCCAGGGACACACAUGCAAAGUCCACACGCUCCAAGGCCAGGAAUCAAUGUGUAUGAAACAAUACAAAUUUCUAGUGAGCAAGUGUUCCCUGCCGGCUUGUGUGUUUAACAAACACUGCAAAUAUGUAUAACGCAGUGGUUCUUAAUCCAGUGCUCAUGCCCCCUCCCCUAUCGAGUCAACAUUUGUCUUUGGAUUCACCACUUGCAGAACUGAUUUCACUUACUGAUGAAUUAUAAGAAGGCUGUUUACGUGAUGGACUUAGAAUGUGAGAACCAGUGGCCACCGUACUCUUUAAAUGAGUUUUUCCACACAAAGUUAAAAACUGAGCAGGUUCAAAAGUUGUAACUGCUUACUACCAUUUCAGGAUCAAAUAAUAAAUCUCUCAACCAUU
Molecule: non-coding RNA, 748 nt
Organism: Paramormyrops kingsleyae
Lineage: Eukaryota; Metazoa; Chordata; Actinopteri; Osteoglossiformes; Mormyridae
Source: RefSeq, a predicted model, not a curated record